CGCCGCCAUUCCGCACCAGGAGGCACCUUGGCCACCCCAGCAUGGAUGGCCUGAGCAGCUCAGAUGUUGUUUUCCCAACCCUUCUUGCAUUUUUCAGUAAUUCCUCUCCCGGACUUGUAUCACGUGGCUUUCACCACAUCAGGGGCCCUGUUCACCGAUUAUUUACUCAAGAUUCCCUAUCGAUCCACAGCAACGUGGAAUAACACACUCAGAUAAAAUUAGCACUUCAGGGAAGAAACUGUAACGGUCUUGCUCUGGCACUGGUAGACUGUUAAUAUAAUAAACUGAAUUCCUGGAACCAAAAAUAAACUUUUCUGUGAAGAAUGUGUACUUGGAAUAAGGCGUACCAAUACCUAGAGUGCAUGUUUUUCCUCGGAGAGGGUGAGACUUGCUGGCACUGUGCAAUGGAGGACAAGAGAAACGCUGUUUGCCCUACAUCAUUAUUUCUUGCAAAUACUACUUUAUAACAAAGGCAAGAGAAGUAAAUGUCUACCCACUAUUCUGUAUACCUGAAAUAAAUAUAGUAUUGAAUGUCAACUGUAAUUGAAAAAAAAUUUUAAGGUAAUAGUUAAAGAAAGGGAAUAAAAUUGCCUAUAAUCCUACCUACAGACAACAGCCCUAGCUUACAUUAUUAUUAUUAUUUAAUGUUUCCUUCUAGUGUUUUUUUCAGGCAGUUGUGAUUUUUGAGUAAAUGCAAACUUAAAUGGUAUGUUUCCCUAAUUGCUGCUUCAUAAUUGUCAACAGAUUAUUGUGAAUCCAUUAAAAUAACUAUUGUGAAGA
Molecule: long non-coding RNA, 780 nt
Organism: Myotis davidii
Lineage: Eukaryota; Metazoa; Chordata; Mammalia; Chiroptera; Vespertilionidae
Exons: 2
Source: RefSeq, a predicted model, not a curated record